GUACUCACCUGCAUGGUUAGCCUUGUCUCUCUGUGGGAGCUGGUCAGCUGGCUGUGGUGAGAGUGUGUGUGGGAGGAGUGUCCAGAGGCAGGGCCUGACUGAUCCCAGUAAUCCUUAUCCAUCAUCUCCUCCAGAAGAUCCAUGAGUUCCUCUUCCUGUCUGGGGCUGGGACCAGGGUUAGGGCUGGGGCUGAGACGGGGGCUGAGACCAGGGUUAGGGCUGGGGCUGAGACCAGGGUUAGGGCUGGGGCUGAGACCAGGGUUAGGACUGGGGCUGAGACCAGGGUUAGGACUGGGGCUGAGACGGGGGUUAGGACGGGGGCUGAGACCAGGGUUAGGACGGGGGCUGAGACCAGGGUUAGGACGGGGGCUGAGACCAGGGUUAGGACUGGGGUUGAGACCAGGGUUAGGACUGGGGUUGAGACCAGGGUUAGGACUGGGGUUGAGACCAGGGUUAGGGCUGGGGCUGAGACCAGGGUUAGGGCUGAGGCUGGGUCCAGGGUUAGGGCUGGACUCAGUGGGUUGGGUAUGGUUCUGGUACCGCUGGCUCCAGGCAGUGUUCUCGUAGCUCUUCAGGAUCCUCUCCACAGCGCCGUAAUUAGACCUGGAGUCAGAUGGACGUAACGCAGCCAGAGUCAGGGGCUUCCAGGGCUGGUCGCUCAUUACACCACGGAGUCCUGACCCCCCAGGCACACGGAGUCCCGACCCCCCAGGCACACAGAGUCCUGACCCCACAGAUCCAGCUUUAAGGAUGUCCUGUGUUGUGGUUGGGCGACUCCCAGGUCGCUGGGGCGCUGGGCAUGACUUAACGGAAUGAGGCCUCGCUCCUUGGGCCUUGAUGUCCCUCUUCGGACUGGCACUCACCUCUGGUCCUGGAGCCGUGUGUGAGUCUGGGCAGGCUGCUUGUAUUCACUAGAGAUGGACCUGUGCAGUGUGGACUUAAACAGGCUGUUGGGGGUCCAGCUUUGUGUUUGACCUCAGGGCAGCGUGUUGCCGGGUUAGAAGGCAUGUUCCUAAACGCAACUUCUGGGCGUUGGGGUGAAAGGUCAGAGGUGGCAGGGGGGUCAAAGGUCCUGACGGUGACCCCUGGAUGAGGGUCAGAUGGGGGCAGGGCCUGGCUCAGUUUGAUCCCUGAACUCAGCUUCUGAGCUGUGAUGUCACAGAUCACCUCCUUCUGUCUGACCUCUGUGGCGUGCCGUGGCGGGAGGUCAAUGUUCGUCUCCCUGGUGACCCCGUGUGUGACCUCACCACAUACCGUCGUACCGUCUGGUACGCCCCUUUUAGAGACACCCGCUGAUGUAAAACUGUCCUCUACAUCAUCGUCCUCCAUCCCUCGACCCAUCUCAGCUUGGAAGAGUGUCCUGUUAAACUCAGCAGUGGCCUGUUCCAGCAUCAUAUUCCUACUGUGGCCUGGAGGGUUGGAGCCUGGAGGGUUGGAGUCUGGAGGGUUGGAGCCUGGAGGGUUGGAGCCUGGAGGGUUGGAGCCUGGAGGGUUGGAGUCUGGAGGGUUGGAGCCUGGAGGGUUGGAGUCUGGAGGGUUGGAGCCUGGAGGGUUGGAGCCUGGAGGGUUGGAGCCUGGAGGGUUGGAGCCUGGAGGGGGUAACUCUAAGGUAAGGUCAAGACAGAUGUGUGAAACUGCUAGGUCUUUGUUUCCAGGUUGUAUAUGACUCUCUCUCUCAGGGCUUCUAGGACUUCUAGGUUUCUCAACGGGCCUGUAGUCGUGGAUCAAGUCCUUCUCAGCAGCACUCACUAUGUUGACUUCAGACAGGCUCUUCUGGACAGGCACGUAGGUGGACGACUUGCUGCUGCCGAAGCGGCUCCCGUCACAGGACCAGCGGUUGUGGCAACAGCCCACGUUGCAGUGGGAGUUAAAGGGAACAGCGCAGGUGGUAAACCCCGCCUCCGUCAGAACUUUCCCCUCGUUCUCCUGCAGCAUCGCCUCGAACUUCCUC
This is a long non-coding RNA of Oncorhynchus tshawytscha (Chinook salmon), 1951 nucleotides long. Lineage: Eukaryota; Metazoa; Chordata; Actinopteri; Salmoniformes; Salmonidae. The record is from Ensembl.